Molecule: ribosomal RNA, 754 nt
Filed under: uncultured Glomeromycotina
Lineage: Eukaryota; Fungi; Glomeromycota
Description: SSU rRNA
Rfam family: Eukaryotic small subunit ribosomal RNA
Source: RNAcentral
GGCCUACCAUGGUGGUAACGGGUAACGGGGUGUUAGGGCACGACACCGGAGAGGGAGCCUGAGAAACGGCUACCACAUCCAAGGAUGGCAGCAGGCGCGCAAAUUACCCAAUCCCGACACGGGGAGGUAGUGACAAUAAAUAACAAUACGGGGUUCUUUAGGAUCUCGUAAUUGGAAUGAGUACAAUUUAAAUCUCUUAACGAGGAACAAUUGGAGGGCAAGUCUGGUGCCAGCAGCCGCGGUAAUUCCAGCUCCAAUAGCGUAUAUUAAAGUUGUUGCAGUUAAAAAGCUCGUAGUUGAAUUUCGGGGUUAGUAGGUUGGUCAUGCCUCUGGUAUGUACUGGUCUCACUGAUUCCUCCUUCCUGAUGAACCUUAAUGCCAUUAAUUUGGUGUUUUGGGGAAUUUGGACUGUUACUUUGAAAAAAUUAGAGUGUUUAAAGCAAGCUAACGCUUGAAUACAUUAGCAUGGAAUAAUGAAAUAGGACGUUCGAUCCUAUUUUGUUGGUUUCUAGGAUUGACGUAAUGAUUAAUAGGGAUAGUUGGGGGCAUUAGUAUUCAAUUGUCAGAGGUGAAAUUCUUGGAUUUAUUGAAGACUAACUACUGCGAAAGCAUUUGCCAAGGAUGUUUUCAUUAAUCAAGAACGAAAGUUAGGGGAUCGAAGACGAUCAGAUACCGUCGUAGUCUUAACCAUAAACUAUGCCGACUAGGGAUCGGAUGAUGUUAAUUUUUUAAUGACUCAUUUCGGCGCCUUACG